Long non-coding RNA from Dermacentor albipictus, 464 nucleotides. RefSeq lists it as uncharacterized. NCBI's taxonomy places the organism in Eukaryota, Metazoa, Arthropoda, Arachnida, Ixodida, Ixodidae. The record is from RefSeq and is a predicted model, not a curated record.
UCCGCAUCGGCAAGGCUGUGACGCUGAAAGUCUGUUUGCUCACGGCAUUUUGCACGGGAUAAUUUCUCCUUACCAGAUGUAGCAUGUCAAAGACAGCGGCUGAAAAAAAUGCAGUACCAACUGAAAACCUGCCAAGGACGUCAUGUUAUGAUGAGAACAAGGAUGCUCAUAUGAAAGAGCUUUCACUGGCAAGACUUCGCCGACGUGUGUAUCGGUCAGCCAGAAAUGAAUCAAGCAAAGAAACUGUUGCCUCCCCAUUAGAAGCAAAGGUGUUGCCCCAUGCACCUGUCAGCACGACCACCAUGGACGAUCUCCCAUCCCCUGACAGCAACAGCAUGGACCAAAUAAGUGACAAAGGAAAUAUGGUAAUUUCUUUUUGUAUAUGUAUGUGUUGUGGUAGCUGUCUUUACCUAGACGGUGGCAUGCUUUCUGGAUUUACAUCGUAAAAGCAUUGUAGCACGUGG